RNAcentral lists this non-coding RNA (31 nucleotides) under Mus musculus (house mouse). The record is from RNAcentral. Lineage: Eukaryota; Metazoa; Chordata; Mammalia; Rodentia; Muridae.
UAUUUGGAAUAUUUUCUGAUUUGGUCCCAGC